GACGAACGCUGGCGGCGUGCUUAACACAUGCAAGUCGAACGGAAAGGCCUCUUUCGGGGGGUACUCGAGUGGCGAACGGGUGAGUAACACGUGAGUAACCUGCCCUUGACUUUGGGAUAACUUCAGGAAACUGGGGCUAAUACCGGAUAGGAGCUCCUGCUGCAUGGUGGGGGUUGGAAAGUUUCGGCGGUUGGGGAUGGACUCGCGGCUUAUCAGCUUGUUGGUGGGGUAGUGGCUUACCAAGGCUUUGACGGGUAGCCGGCCUGAGAGGGUGACCGGCCACAGUGGGACUGAGAUACGGCCCAGACGCCGACGGGAGGCAGCAGUGGGGAAUAUUGCACAAUGGGUGGAAGCCUGAUGCAGCAACGCCGUGUGCGGGAUGACGGCCUUCGGGUUGUAAACCGCUUUCGCUCAUGACGAAGCUUUGUGUGACGGUAGUGGGUAAAGAAGCACCGGCUAACUACGUG
This 467-nucleotide ribosomal RNA is filed under the name uncultured bacterium. Its description in RNAcentral is "partial 16S ribosomal RNA". It matches the Rfam family "Bacterial small subunit ribosomal RNA", at positions 28 to 507 of the family's 1533-position model. The record is from RNAcentral.